This 496-nucleotide ribosomal RNA is filed under the name uncultured bacterium. Its description in RNAcentral is "partial 16S ribosomal RNA". It matches the Rfam family "Bacterial small subunit ribosomal RNA", at positions 29 to 507 of the family's 1533-position model. The record is from RNAcentral.
AUGAACGCUGGCGGCGUGCCUAAUACAUGCAAGUCGCGCGAACGGACGAGAAGCUUGCCUCUCUGAUGUUAGCGGCGGACGGGUGAGUAACACGUGGAUAACCUACCUAUAAGACUGGGAUAACUUCGGGAAACCGUAGCUAAUACCGGAUAAUAUUUUGAACCGCAUGGUUCAAAAGUGAAAGACGGUCUUGCUGUCACUUAUAGAUGGAUCCGCGCUGCAUUAGCUAGUUGGUAAGGUAACGGCUUACCAAGGCAACGAUGCAUAGCCGACCUGAGAGGGUGAUCGGCCACACUGGAACUGAGACACGGUCCAGACUCCUACGGGAGGCAGCAGUAGGGAAUCUUCCGCAAUGGGCGAAAGCCUGACGGAGCAACGCCGCGUGAGUGAUGAAGGUCUUCGGAUCGUAAAACUCUGUUAUUAGGGAAGAACAUAUGUGUAAGUAACUGUGCACAUCUUGACGGUACCUAAUCAGAAAGCCACGGCUAACUACGUG